This 370-nucleotide ribosomal RNA is filed under the name uncultured organism. Its description in RNAcentral is "bacterial SSU rRNA". It matches the Rfam family "Bacterial small subunit ribosomal RNA", at positions 526 to 896 of the family's 1533-position model. The record is from RNAcentral.
CGUAGGCAGCAAGCGUUGUUCGGAGUUACUGGGCGUAAAGGGUGUGUAGGCGGUUCUUUAAGUUUGGUGUGAAAUCUCCCGGCUCAACUGGGAGGGUGCGCCGAAAACUGAAGGGCUAGAGUGCGGGAGAGGAGAGUGGAAUUCCUGGUGUAGCGGUGAAAUGCGUAGAUAUCAGGAGGAACACCGGUGGUGUAGACGGCUCUCUGGACCGUAACUGACGCUGAGACACGAAAGCGUGGGUAGCAAACAGGAUUAGAUACCCUGGUAGUCCAUGCCCUAAACGAUGCAUAUUUGGUGUGGGUCAUUCAGUUGAUCCGUGCCGGAGCUAACGCGUUAAAUAUGCCGCCUGGGGAGUACAGUCGCAAGGCUG